GACGAACGCUGGCGGCGUGCUUAACACAUGCAAGUCGAACGGAAAGGCCCUGCUUUUGUGGGGUUCUCGAGGGGCGAACGGGUGAGUAACACGUGAGUAACCUGCCCUUGACUUUGGGAUAACUUCAGGAAACUGGGGCUAAUACCGUAUAGGAGCUCCUGCUGCAGGGUGGGGGUUGGAAAUUUGCGGCGGUUGGGGAUGGACGGGCGGCUUAUCAGCUAGUUGGUGGGGGAGGGGCUUACCAAGGCUGUGACGGAUAGGCGGCAUGAGAGGGUGACCGGGCACAUGGGGCCUGCGAUACGGCCCAGACUCCAACGGGAGGCAGCAGUGGGGAAUAUUGCACAAUGGGCGGAAGCCUGAUGAAGAAACGCUGCGUGCGGGAUGACGGCUUGCGGGUUGUAAACCGCUUUAGCCUGUGACGAAGCGUGAGUGACGGUAAUGGGUAAAGAAGCACCGGCUAACUACGUG
RNAcentral lists this ribosomal RNA (468 nucleotides) under uncultured bacterium. Its description in RNAcentral is "partial 16S ribosomal RNA". It matches the Rfam family "Bacterial small subunit ribosomal RNA", at positions 28 to 507 of the family's 1533-position model. The record is from RNAcentral.